UCCAGAAACCAUGUGAGUCACCGUGCUGAGACAUAAUACUACAGGUUCCAAAUAAAUACGGACAGAGGCCUGAAUGCGGAUCCACUGAUAUUAACCUCCACUUGGCAAACAUCAGACGCCCAGGAGCAGCAAUAAUAGGUAGCGGGUAUAUCUCCUUUCCAACUUCUUCCUUACUGACCUGAUUUCUCACAACGAACUGGGGAGGAGGAUUCUACACAGGCUGGUAAAAGGCAAAAAACACCAAUAAAACAAACUGACAUUGGAAAAAGCUUUUUAUUACUACGGGAGGAAUCUCUCAGUCUUUGCAGAGGGAUCAAACAUUUUCUGUCCUGUCCGGCUCUUCGAGCCUGUGUCAACACCACGGACUUCUCUUAGGUUUCUCUAUCCUAUCCCUUGUGAGUUCGUUCUCACCUAGCUACUAGAACUUUUAUCAUCUCACAGUAGAAAACAAAAACCAAAAAGUCAAAACAAACAAAAAAAAAUCUACAUCACCAACCAGCAGCUAAUAACCCUGCCCCCCCAAACCCAAACAACUUUUCCAACAGUGGGAAUUUGAAAGGGAAAUAAAGCUUCUUGGGAUUCUGAAAAAGGCUUGCACAUCAUACCACACAAACUAUAAUACACACCUGGGUCUGAAUUUCAGCUUGAUGUGUUUAUCAUUCAGCAUGGUCACAGUUGCUUCCACAGUGAUUUGUUCUCGUGUGAUCUGUGGAAAUGUCAGCCCCAGAAACAGGAUUUCAAAGUUUCUUAUAGAGACACAGGAUUCAAAUGGUGAGAUAUAGCAUAUCUCUGCCAUGACAAAUACGUUUUAACUUGUUCUCUAAAUGCAUUUUCUCUUACCCCUUUCUUUGUUCUUUCUCUCCUCAUAAUUUUUUUUUUUUUUAAUCUGGCAACAGAAUUAAGUCAAAUCCUCGAAACAAACAAAACUAGAAUCAGCAGAGGAGAGCAGCAUAUGAAAAUAUGUCUUGAAGGAAAUAAAAUAUAUAAAAGCA
Taeniopygia guttata (zebra finch) is the source of this 992-nucleotide non-coding RNA. The record is from RefSeq and is a predicted model, not a curated record. NCBI's taxonomy places the organism in Eukaryota, Metazoa, Chordata, Aves, Passeriformes, Estrildidae.